RNAcentral lists this ribosomal RNA (300 nucleotides) under uncultured bacterium. Its description in RNAcentral is "bacterial SSU rRNA". It matches the Rfam family "Bacterial small subunit ribosomal RNA", at positions 1081 to 1382 of the family's 1533-position model. The record is from RNAcentral.
UAAGUCCCGCAACGAGCGCAACCCUUGAUCUUAGUUGCCAGCAUUUAGUUGGGCACUCUAAGGUGACUGCCGGUGACAAACCGGAGGAAGGUGGGGAUGACGUCAAAUCAUCAUGCCCCUUAUGACCUGGGCUACACACGUGCUACAAUGGAUGGUACAAAGGGCUGCAAGACCGCGAGGUCAAGCCAAUCCCAUAAAACCAUUCUCAGUUCGGAUUGUAGGCUGCAACUCGCCUACAUGAAGCUGGAAUCGCUAGUAAUCGCGGAUCAGCAUGCCGCGGUGAAUACGUUCCCGGGCCUU